This 23-nucleotide transfer RNA is filed under the name Cayaponia africana. RNAcentral describes it as "partial tRNA-Leu". Lineage: Eukaryota; Viridiplantae; Streptophyta; Magnoliopsida; Cucurbitales; Cucurbitaceae. The record is from RNAcentral.
GUGGUUCAGUCCCUCUAUCCCCA